RNAcentral lists this ribosomal RNA (301 nucleotides) under uncultured bacterium. RNAcentral's name for it is "partial 16S ribosomal RNA". It matches the Rfam family "Bacterial small subunit ribosomal RNA", at positions 509 to 807 of the family's 1533-position model. The record is from RNAcentral.
CAGCAGCCGCGGUAAUACGGAGGGGGCUAGCGUUGUUCGGAAUUACUGGGCGUAAAGCGCACGUAGGCGGAUCAGUCAGUCAGGGGUGAAAUCCCGGGGCUCAACCCCGGAACUGCCUUUGAUACUGCUGGUCUUGAGGUCGAGAGAGGUGAGUGGAAUUCCGAGUGUAGAGGUGAAAUUCGUAGAUAUUCGGAGGAACACCAGUGGCGAAGGCGGCUCACUGGCUCGAUACUGACGCUGAGGUGCGAAAGCGUGGGGAGCAAACAGGAUUAGAUACCCCAGUAGUCCCUGUCUCUUAUAC